UACGUAGGGGGCUAGCGUUGUCCGGAUUUAUUGGGCGUAAAGAGCUCGUAGGCGGUCUGUCGCGUCGGCUGUGAAAACUCGGGGCUCAACCCCGAGCCUGCAGUCGAUACGGGCAGACUAGAGUGCUGUAGGGGAGACUGGAAUUCCUGGUGUAGCGGUGAAAUGCGCAGAUAUCAGGAGGAACACCGGUGGCGAAGGCGGUUCUCUGGGCAUGUCCUGACGCUGAGGAGCGAAAGUGUGGGGAGCGAACAGG
Molecule: ribosomal RNA, 253 nt
Filed under: uncultured bacterium
Lineage: Bacteria
Description: partial 16S ribosomal RNA
Rfam family: Bacterial small subunit ribosomal RNA
Source: RNAcentral